RNAcentral lists this long non-coding RNA (731 nucleotides) under Rhinopithecus bieti (black snub-nosed monkey). RNAcentral's name for it is "lncRNA (ENSRBIG00000045645.1)". Lineage: Eukaryota; Metazoa; Chordata; Mammalia; Primates; Cercopithecidae. The record is from RNAcentral.
GUUUGGGAGGUGUGUGGUUAAAUUCCAACUACUGUGGGGUUUCUGACACUACUUCUUUUUUUUUUUUUUUUUGAAGCUGGUAACAUGUUUUAUUGGGUUGGGGCGGCAACCACAGCCUGGCUGGGGGUGGGGCCGGCCCUCACAGGUUGUUGAGUUCCAGCAGGGUCUGGUCCAAGGUCUGGUGAAUCUCGACGUUCUCCUCCUUGGCACUGGCCAAGGUCUCUUCUAGGUCAUCGAUGGUUUUCUCCAACUUUGCCACAGACCUCUCAGCAAACUCUGCUCUCUCCUCUGAGCGCUCCAGCUCUCCUUCCAGGAUCACCAGCUUCCUGGCCACCUCUUCUCCUCCUCAACCAGCUGAAUGCGGCGGUUCAGAGAGGCCUGCUCCAGUUUCUCCUGGGCCUCCUUCACGGAUUCAGAAUACUUUUCCACCUCAUCCUCUGUCCCCUUCAGCUUCUUCUGGAGGGCCUGCUGCUCCUCCUCCAGCUGCUUGCAACGGUCCUCAGCUUGCUUCUUGUCAGCUUCAGCAUCUGCAUCUUCUUCUUGAUGGCGUCCAUGGCUGCGGUGGGGGGUGGGCAGGCCGGCAGGCGGUGAGGACCGGACGGACUGGGCUGGCUGAGCGGACUGGGUGCACGGGUGGAAGGCGAGGAGGGCCAAGCCUCUGACACUACUUCUAAAAAUAGUUAUAUUCUUGUAAAAAUAAAUGCACAUGGAAAUGAACAAUGUAUACUAAG